AUUUAGAUUAUGGGGCUUCUCCUAAGCCCUAAGAACCACGAAAUGAUGGUGUUUUGCAAAAUAUAAAUUCCAAAAAGCAUUUUAAGUAGCUUCAAUUUUACAAAAUUUAUUUCACGACAUGGUUUUAAAUAACGGCUGUUAUAUAAUAAAUAACGAUCGUUACCAUCGUUACUUAACGGUAAUGGUCAUUACCUCAAUAAUUCAACAAAUAAAAAGCACAUGCAAA
RNAcentral lists this unclassified non-coding RNA (226 nucleotides) under Hevea brasiliensis (rubber tree). The record is from RNAcentral. Lineage: Eukaryota; Viridiplantae; Streptophyta; Magnoliopsida; Malpighiales; Euphorbiaceae.